ACGGGGGGGGCAAGCGUUGUUCAGAAUUACUGGGCGUAAAGGGCUCGUAGGCGGCCAACUAAGUCGGAUGUGAAAUCCCCAGGCUCAACUUGGGAACUGCAUCCGAUACUGGAUGGCUUGAAUCCGGGAGAGGGAUGCAGAAUUCCGGGUGUAGCGGUGAAAUGCGUAGAUAUCUGGAGGAACACCGGUGGCGAAGGCGGCAUCCUGGACCGGCAUUGACGCUGAUGAGCGAAAGCUAGGGGAGCAAACGGGA
Molecule: ribosomal RNA, 253 nt
Filed under: uncultured prokaryote
Description: partial 16S ribosomal RNA
Rfam family: Bacterial small subunit ribosomal RNA
Source: RNAcentral